CCUACGUGAGGCAGCAGUGGGGGAUAUUGCACAAUGGGGGAAACCCUGAUGCAGCGACGCCGCGUGUGGGAAGACGGUCUUCUGGAUUGUAAACCACUGUCCCCAGGGACGAAAAUGACGGUACCUGGGGAGGAAGCUCCGGCUAACUACGUGCCAGCAGCCGCGGUAAUACGUAGGGAGCAAGCGUUGUCCGGAAUUACUGGGUGUAAAGGGAGCGUAGGCGGGGAUGCAAGUUGGGUGUCAAAACUACCGGCUCAACCGAUAGUCGCACUCAAAACUGCAACUCUUGAGUGAAGUAGAGGCAGGCGGAAGUCCGAGUGUAGCGGUGAAAUGCGGAGAUAUUAGGAGGAACACCAGUGGCGAAGGCGGCCUGCUGGGCUUUUACUGACGCUGAGGCUCGAAAGUGUGGGGAGCAAACAGGAUUAGAUACCCGUGUAGUC
RNAcentral lists this ribosomal RNA (440 nucleotides) under uncultured bacterium. RNAcentral describes it as "partial 16S ribosomal RNA". It matches the Rfam family "Bacterial small subunit ribosomal RNA", at positions 338 to 795 of the family's 1533-position model. The record is from RNAcentral.